UUGCAUAUAUCAUCGGCCCAUGAAGGUCAUCAAUUGACAGUCUCUCAGCAAACAACCGGUCUUGAACGGAGGCAGCACUCCCACCUACAGCCAAAACAGUGACCUAUGAAUAACGUCUACCUUUGGGACCAGGCUUCUCAUGAGUCCCACAACAGGUUCAAUGAAAGUCUCGCCACUCUUGCUGUUGUAUUAGUAACAGCAGUUAACACUAAACGUAUUGGAGGUACCGUGCUGAGAUAUCUGUCUACAACAAUGUCGUUAAGGCAACUUUGUGCUCUUUGGUAAUACUGGUCCUGAGCUAACAUGGAGGCAGGCGUUAGAGCUUAUUGACAAUUACUUCGAAGUUACUCAUACUCAUCUUAUAUUUCACCUCCCAAACAAUCUAAACUGACUUAAUCAUGUUUGAUAUUGCAGGCUAAUAGGGACAUCGGUGCUAACCAUGAGAUGCCAACUCCACAAUGUCUGGUGGAAGUCUCGAGCUCCAACCUUAAGAGACAGACCAUAAUUGUAACGAGGGUUGUUUUUCCCGCAGUUCUGCCACCAUUUGUAGUAGCAGAAAGCCAACCAGACGCAAUCGAUGAAGAGAGCACAUGCUCCUGGAUUAAUUCAUUUCUGUCAUAGAGAGUCUAGCAUUUCUUUAUCCAAACUAUUUUUGAACUCUCUGUUCUUGCAUAUUUUUAUAAAUAACUUGUGAAGUUGAGGUACUCUCCUUCCUAAGCAUGUGUUAUGUUUUCAUUCUUUAUAAG
Molecule: long non-coding RNA, 746 nt
Organism: Brassica napus (rape)
Lineage: Eukaryota; Viridiplantae; Streptophyta; Magnoliopsida; Brassicales; Brassicaceae
Exons: 3
Source: RefSeq, a predicted model, not a curated record